Long non-coding RNA from Meleagris gallopavo (turkey), 2797 nucleotides. RefSeq lists it as uncharacterized. The record is from RefSeq and is a predicted model, not a curated record. Lineage: Eukaryota; Metazoa; Chordata; Aves; Galliformes; Phasianidae.
UCUCCUGCUUGUUUUGUGUCUCAUAUGUUUAUCCUUUCUUCAGAAAAGUUCUGAAGCCCAAUUCAUUUGAUUAAAUCUAAAUGUUUGUGUAUUUUGUUCUAGUUUACUGUAGCCGACUUUAAAAACAGAAAAUUCAGACAAGAUUGCACAGACCCAAAGCCAAAAGCCCAGCUAUAUCUGUACCAGAUACCUCAUAUCCUGACAUUGUCAGAAUUUGUUUGUCAGUCUUAAUUUCACAACAAGUUAAAGUAUAACUAACCAUUGAAAACAAUUAGUGAUUGUUUAGUGAAAACAGUAGUUAUGCAAGUUUCCCUUCUCUUGCUCUCUAAUGGAGAGAAAAAAAAGGAAAUGCAUCACAGAACUUGUAUGCCCUAUCAGCUUACUCUUUACAAAGCUUUGAUUCUUGUUGGUGUUUAUCAGUGCAGUUCCUAUCCUGGAAUCUCCUGCCUUGACCGUGAGACAUUUCACAGUCACAUUUCACACUGCAUGUGUGAUGAGGAUGAUUCACAAUUCUGUAAUCCCACAGUAUGCUCCAAUCCAAACAAAGUGUGUCCCUAUAUCUGUUCGUCAUUCUCAGCAGGUCAAGAUACGCAGGAUACAUUUCCUGUAAGCGUCUAUUGAAGUGUUCUUCCUUUCUAUACAAGUGGAAGUAUAAAGAAUAUUUUAGCUCCCACAACUUAAAACAAAGACUGGAUAUUAGUCAUCAUGCAAAUAGGCUCUAGUUUCUUUUUUUUUUCCCAAGUCCUAUGUCACUAGAGUAACUGAGUCCUCUCAAUUCCCAGAAAUGUGGUAAAAAUUAGGCUGGAAGGAGGAGAUAGACGGAAGAGUGAGGGGAAAGUAAAAACAGACUAAAUAGCUGUGACUAAUAAAAUAAGCAGAAAGAGAAAUAACUGAUAUAUAUUUUGUUUUAGUACGUAAUGAAAAUGUGGCAUUGUUAGAACAGCUUGUUAAUUCUGCACGCUUAAAGUGGGAUGGCAAAUUCAUGAAGCAGUCCUGGAUUAGAUUCAGUAUUACUGGAAAUUUUGAAAAUGAUGUGGUGAAAUUAUAUUAGCAGUAGCAUAUUAUACCAAAACUCCAAACCAGCACAUAAUGAAAAAACACUCCUUGUUUGAAACACACGCAAAAAAAGCUUAUCAAAUGUACAUGGAAAAAUUGAAGUGCCAUAUGAAGUGAAUCUCUUAAUGUUUACAUCGAAUAACAGUAUUGUUAUUGCAGAUAAACACAGCCACAUAUUUAAGAGAGCAUGCGCAAACAAAAGAGAAUUGCAAACAAGCCUCAGAGCUAAUGAGCCUAACUGAGACCCUGUGAUUGAUAGUAAAUCUCUGUGGCAACUUCUGGUAUCUAUCUGUUUUCAGUUUCGGGCCCUCGUGACAAGAAACGCAUUGAGACUCUGGAACACGCCCAGAGCAGGGCAACAAAGCUGGUGAAGGGUCAGGAAUACAAGUAUUAUGAGGAGCAGCUCGGGAAAGUGGGAUUGCUUAGUGCCCAGAAGAAGGGGCCCAGGAGUUAAGAAAAUCUGCAACGCAUGAGUUAUUCAAACAGAAUAUUGCAAAUCUUCACUGAUUGAGCUACCAAAAAACGUCUCGAGGGCAUUCAUUCAUAGUUCAUGUUGAAAGCAGAAUCACAGAAUGAAUGAGAUUGGAAGGGACCUUUGGAGGCCAUCUGGUCCAACCACCCUGAUCAAGCCUAGAGCAAGCUGCAGAGGACCAUGUCCAUAGACCAUGUACAGAUGACAUCUGAAUAUCUCCAAGGAUGGAGACUCUACAUCCUCUCUUAGCAACCUGUGCCAGGGCUCAGACAUCUACAAAUAAAUAAAUAAAUAAAUAAAGUUCUCUGAUGUUGAAUCUCCCAUGUUUCAGAUUCUGCCCAUUGUCUCUUUCAGUGAUACUCAGGGAUAGGAGAAAAGAGCCUGGCUCUAUCCUCUUUGUUCCCUUUUUUCAGAUCCUCUCAAUCCUUCUUUCCUCUAGGCUGAAUUGUCCCAGCUCUCUCAGCCCUUCCUCAUAAGAAUCAAACAAUCACUAAGAUUGGAAAAGAUUUCUAAGAUUAAGCCCAACUACCAACCUAUCGACUAUGCCCACCAAACCAUGUCCCUAAGUGCUAUAUCUACAUAUUACUUGAAAACCUCCGGGGUGGUGACUGCUCUACUUCCCUGGGCAGCCAAUGCUUGACCACUCUUUCAGAUGACAAAUUUUUCCUCAAAUCCAACAUGAACCUCCUCAGGCACAACUAGAUGCCAUUAGCUCUCAUCCUAUUGCUAGUGACCUGUACAAAAAGACCAACUCUCACCUUGCUACAAACUCCUUUCAGGUAGCUAUACAAAGCCAUAAGGUCUCCCUUAAGCCUCCUCCAGAAUAAACAAUCUCAGUUCCCACAGCUGCUGCUCCUCAUAAAGUAUGUGGAUUCAGCUUCAGGUGGAUUUUAAUCCCAUCCACAACCAGUCUCUAAACCUGGCCACCCAGCCAAUUUUUUCACCCAACGAAGAGCACACCCCUCUCAGCUGUGAGCUGCCACUUUCUCCAAGAAAAUGCUGUGGGUGAUGGUGUCAAAGGCGUUACCGACAUCGAGGCAGACCACAUCCAUAGUCUUUCCCUCAUACUCUAGGCAGGUCACCUAUAUAGAAGGAGAUCAGAUUGGUCAGGCAGGAUCCUGCCUUUCAUGAACCGCCUGAUCCCCGGUUGUCCUGCAUACGCAGCGUGACCACUCCCCAGAUUAUCUGCUCCACAGCCUUCCCUGAUAUUGAGGUCAGGAUGACAGUCUCCCAGAUCUUCCUUCUGACAACUUUUGUAGAUAGGCAUCA